CGUGUAGGCGGUUGGUCAAGUCUGGUGUGAAAGCCCGGGGCUUAGCCUCGGAAGUGCAUCGGAAACUAGCCAGCUGGAGCGCGAUAGAGGAGGGUGGAAUUCCUGGUGUAGCGGUGAAAUGCGUAGAUAUCAGGAGGAACACCGGCGGCGAAGGCGGCCCUCUGGAUCGUUGCUGACGCUGAGACGCGAAAGCGUGGGGAGCAAACAGGAUUAGAUACCCUGGUAGUCCACGCUGUAAACGAUGGGUACUAGGUGUUCGGGGUAUUGACCCCCUGAGUGCCGCAGUUAACGCAUUAAGUACCCCGCCUGGGGACUACGGCCGCAAGGUUAAA
RNAcentral lists this ribosomal RNA (332 nucleotides) under uncultured bacterium. RNAcentral describes it as "bacterial SSU rRNA". It matches the Rfam family "Bacterial small subunit ribosomal RNA", at positions 568 to 898 of the family's 1533-position model. The record is from RNAcentral.